Molecule: long non-coding RNA, 1164 nt
Organism: Raphanus sativus (radish)
Lineage: Eukaryota; Viridiplantae; Streptophyta; Magnoliopsida; Brassicales; Brassicaceae
Exons: 7
Source: RefSeq, a predicted model, not a curated record
AUCUUUAUAUAUAAAAGAAGCUUUCUAUCUCUCCCGCUAUGUCCACGUCAGAUUCCACGUUGGAAAUACCCACUUUCAGAGCGUGACACGCGUCCGUGUAAAUGAAACUCCGCGUAUUGGUGUAUUGGGCUCUGGCUCGAGAUUGUAUUUGAGGCCCGUGUUACUCUCCGGUCCAGCGAAACCCUAAUCAUUGUAGACUUGGUCAUUCGUCGUCUUCGCGUCUUCGCUCACUUCGAUCGCGACGAGACGAUACAAUUUCCGUAACAGAGAGACUGCUCCGCCGCCAUCGAUUUCAUCAAAGGAGUUUCUAGGGUUUUGGGGGUUGGUGUCGUGGACAUCUGAAGCCGUGGUUUCAGUACUAUAUCAUGUGAGAUCAACGAAGCUCGGAAGUUAAGAAGAAGAGCUAAAUCUCAUGAUUUCCUACAAAGAUCGAGGGUUACUACAUAGGACUGGAGAGGCUCUGUCGGGAGAGACUAUCAAAAAGCAACACAAUCAUUUCCGUCGCCGGCGAAUUACUCUCACUGGAAAAUAAAUAUUUUGAAGAAUGAAGAGUAACUUAGACGACAGCAACGAUGAAAAGAAGCCUGAGCGAAAGCGCCCUGCUCUUGCUAGUGUGAUUGUUGAGGCGAUGAAAGUUGACAGCUUGCAGAAGCUCUGCUCCUCUCUGGAACCUAUCCUCCGCAGAGUUGUGAGUGAGGAAGUGGAACGUGCUUUGGCUAAGUUCAUCACGUCUAGGCUAUGGUCAAAAUAUAUAGUGCCUCUUCAGAGAAAAUAAUACGGAAGUCUGAGAAACUCUUAAGAGAGAAAAGAAGUGAAGGUACACAUCCAAUUUGGAUCUUGAAGAAGAAUUCUAGCUCUCUCCGGUAAUGUUACCUCUUAAGUUAAUCAAAGCUUUCGGAUUAACUGCGUAUGUGAAACGAUUCUCUGUUUCCGUUUGAUAUGCUUCAAAAAGAUUCAAGAGCAUAACAUUGAUGCCUUAUGUGUUUAUAUGAUUAUGUGAUAUGUGUGGGGGUACAGGAAAAUGUAAACUGUUACGGUGGAAGGUUUGCUUGGUCAGUUUAGGUACAGGUUUACCAAACAACAAAGGACUCAUUAGAAGGCCUGGUGCAGUGAGCUACUCGACACAAUGUACAAUGGUCGUCUUCUUCCCAAUUCUUGAGCCAG